Molecule: long non-coding RNA, 3196 nt
Organism: Nerophis ophidion (straightnose pipefish)
Lineage: Eukaryota; Metazoa; Chordata; Actinopteri; Syngnathiformes; Syngnathidae
Exons: 3
Source: RefSeq, a predicted model, not a curated record
GUCGCCACCUCAUUCGCAGGGCCAACACAGACAGACAGACAACAUUCACACUCACAUUCACACCCUAAGGCCCUUUUAGUGUUGCCGAUCAACUUAUCCCCAGGUGCAUGUCUUUGAAGGUUUGGAGGAAGAUGGAGUACCCGGAGGGAACCCACGCAGUCACAGGGAGGACAUGGAAACUCCACACAAAAAGAUCCCGAGCCUAUGAUCGAACCCAGGACCUUCGUAUUGUGAGCAAGAAGGCUGCAGGCAAUCACGCAUCAGCGCACCUGGUCCUGACGAGAGGGAGUGGCAUAAAAAGCCAGAGAAGCCAGGACACCUUCAACAGAACCUAGCCGAUCUUCCCUGAGUAAGCAAUCACGUCUGGCACCCCUCCCUCGUUCCUUGCUCGCCUUCUUUGUUCCUGUCUUGAUGUGCUUUGUGUCUUCCAUGAUCGUGUUUUGCCUCACAACCUCCUCCCGGAUCUUUGCUUGCCUUCCCUGAUCCUCGACCACUGCUUGGACCCGGACAUAGUUGCCUUUCUCCAGCCCCCGACUGUUUGCCUCCCUACUGACUGCCUCUUUGCCUUCCCCCUUGGGUUCGAUGAAAGAUACAUUCAACAUGCACCGACAACAUCCUCUGGUAAAUCCCACAUUGUUAAUUCUACGCAUCGUCCGCAUUCACUCACUAGUGGUAGCAUACACACUCCACACAUUCAUCAAAGGUUUGAAUAAACCUUCUAAACCGAAGUUCUGCUUUGGUGUCGCCUCUUUCCCUUUGCCUAGUACACAUCAUUAUUAAAUACUUAUUAAUGCCAUAUUCUGCAUGGGCUUAUUACACAACAACCCUAACCAUAACCCUCUAACCUUAACCCUAACCAAAUAACUCUUAAUUAAGUCUUUGUUACUUAGAAUGUGUUCCCCAUACUAAAGUGUUACCAAAUUUGUUGAUGGGGUCCUAGAAUAGCCAGCAAUGACUGAUGUCCAGCAAGUCCAUAGCAAGCUACAGGCAAAAAAGGCUGAGCCGUUCACAUCUGAUGACAAGCUUUCGACAUUAACAAUUGCAACAAUGAGCAGAAUGUGACUUUGCCUCUUGGGUGUGACCAACAAUGCCUGCCAAACCCCAGCUGUUCCAACAAACGGUGACAAGUGCAAAGCAAGAGGCCGGAUUGGGGGCAGGGUGUGGCAUGGCGGUGUGGGGGAUCAUGGGGGUGGGAUGCCAUGGUGACGGACCCUGCUUCGGAUGCUCAAUGAAGCCAUUGUUUGGCCCAAGUGAAGCAUAUCGCACAAUGACAGGCACAUUCUGACCCAAAACAAGCCUAUUGUCAGGCCAAGUGUUUGCCUCCGGCGUCCAUCAGAAGUAGGCAUGAGUGGACCAACACAGAGAAGGAAGAAGUUGCUAGCAUGAAGCUUCGCCCCCAGUGCAUUAACACCAGCAAGAGAGCGUGCUGACAUAAGGCAAUGGCAGGGGGGCUCAGCUGCACUAAGGCAGCUAAAUGACAUCCGCCGUUGAAAAAAUAAUUAGACCUUGCUGCUGCUCAUGCUGCUGCUGGCGCUUUCAUUUAGUCUUCCCAAGUGUUGCCCUUCAUGGAAGCCAGUCCUUCUCAAAUGGUGGGACAGGCCCCCCUGGGGGGCGCUGUGUGGUGCGUGUGAUUCCUUUUUUGCCGUACCAGAAUAUGAUGAUGAAGCGUGUUUAGCCACUGUAACCACAGAGGGAGACGAGGAAAGGCCGGUGAUUUGUUUCUUUUAAUGUUAAUAAGCUUACAAUGUUAUGCAGAGGUAUAAUUAUGACAACAUUAUAGACAAACUAGAUGAGGCAAUUCCCAAAGGAAUUGCAUGUGAAUGCUCCAACGCUGAAGUUGAACUAAAAUCCUGGAUUUUUUUAAAUAAUUGUUGAAGUUGUCAGGGCGCGUGCACAAUCCCGCAGGCUCUGCCGGCACCUCCGCUGGAAGUGCGCCGGGACACACCCCUGCUUGCUCUGCAAGUAUCGCAGCCACGCGUCUGCAGGCAAUCGUCAAUCAGUGCACCUGGGCUUGAUGAGGGCAGGCAGCAUAAAGACCAGCGGACCAGAAGAUCCAGUGCCGGAACCUAGUUCACUCUUGCAGUAAGCAUCCCGUCUCUGGCUCAGUGGCCUUGUGGUUAGAGUGUCCGCCCUGAGAUCGGUAGGUCGUGAGAUCAAAUCCCGGCUGAGUCAUACCAAAGACUAUAAAAAUGGGACCCAUUACCUCUCUGCAUUAAGGGUUGGAAUUGGGGGUUAAAUCACCAUAAAAUUAUUCCCGGGCGUGGCACCGCUGCUGCCCACUGCUCCCCUCACCUCCCAGGGGGUGAUCAAGGGUGAUGGGUUGAAUGCAGAGACUAAUUUUGGCACGUCUAGAAUGUGUGUGACAAUCAUUGGUACUUUAACUUUAACUUCCCUCCCGCGUACUUGCUCUCUCUCUGUGCCCUCCCUGUUCCCGUGUCGUAUGUCCUUUGAGUUUGCAGUAGUGUUUCCCGUAAUCGAGCUUUGUGCCUCGACUUCCCUCUGGAUUCCGGACUGCCUGCCUUGAUCCUCGACCCCUGCUUGGACACGGACCUUGUUGCUUCUCUCCUGUUGCCUGCCCAUGGACUGCCUUCUCGCCUUGCCCCUUUGGGUUCUUCCAACGCGAACAUACAACAAACUCUGAAAGAAACAAGGCAGCAUUAGAGACUUGGUACAAAGGAAGGUGUGCACACCACAGCAAGCUGCUGCACUGACUGAUGCUACCCGAAUAUGUUGGUAACUGACAUGAGGCCACUAUCAAUGGUGAAGGAUGAAGGUUUUAGACAAAUGAUUCACGUCCUCAACCCUGGUUACACUCUUCCCUCGAGGAACCAUUUUACCAAACUGAGGGAGAGGAAGUACAAGCGGACAUUCCAUGCUGUGUAGACUGACAUAAAAGCCACCCAGAGCAAACUUGCUCUCACUACUGAUGUGUGGACAAGUGUUGCCUACUUUGGCAAUACAUGCCACUACAUUGGAGACGAAUGGAACAUGAAGUCAAUCUGCCUUACCACCAUGCCACUAGAGGAAAGACAUUCAGCAUCCAACAUUGCAGAAUGGUUGGAAUAGGUAGUAGCCAGGUUUGAAAUUACCCUAAGCAAAAUUAUUGCUAUUGUGCAGGACAAUGGUGCACUUUAUAUUAAAAAAAAUACAUUUUUUGUAACACUUGCCUUGUUUUAUUUGGCAAGUCGAAAGGACA